Molecule: ribosomal RNA, 207 nt
Filed under: Clostridioides difficile
Lineage: Bacteria; Bacillati; Bacillota; Clostridia; Peptostreptococcales; Peptostreptococcaceae
Description: partial 23S ribosomal RNA
Rfam family: Bacterial large subunit ribosomal RNA
Source: RNAcentral
UGUCAAGAAAAGUCUCUAUCGAGGUUAAAGGUACCCGUACCGCAAACCGACACAGGUGGGUGAGGAGAGUAUCCUAAGGCCAGCGAGAGAACUGUUGUUAAGGAACUCGGCAAAAUGACCCCGUAACGUAGGGAUAAGGGGUGCCACCAUCAGGUGGCCGCAGAGAAUAGGCCCAAGCGACUGUUUACCAAAAACAUAGGUUUCUGC